RNAcentral lists this ribosomal RNA (305 nucleotides) under uncultured bacterium. RNAcentral describes it as "bacterial SSU rRNA". It matches the Rfam family "Bacterial small subunit ribosomal RNA", at positions 338 to 660 of the family's 1533-position model. The record is from RNAcentral.
CCUACGGGGCGCAGCAGUGGGGAAUAUUGCACAAUGGGGGGAACCCUGAUGCAGCGACGCCGCGUGGGCGAUGGAGUAUUUCGGUAUGUAAAGCCCUAUCGGCAGGGAAGAAAAUGACAGUACCUGAGUAAGAAGCCCCGGCUAACUACGUGCCAGCAGCCGCGGUAAUACGUAGGGGGCAAGCGUUAUCCGGAUUUACUGGGUGUAAAGGGAGCGUAGACGGCCAGACAAGUCUGAAGUGAAAAUCCAGCGCUUAACGUUGGAAGUGCUUUGGAAACUGCCGGGCUAGAGUGCAGGAGGGGCAG